Molecule: ribosomal RNA, 245 nt
Filed under: uncultured Blastopirellula sp.
Lineage: Bacteria; Pseudomonadati; Planctomycetota; Planctomycetia; Pirellulales; Pirellulaceae
Description: partial 16S ribosomal RNA
Rfam family: Bacterial small subunit ribosomal RNA
Source: RNAcentral
GACGAACCGUACGAACGUUAUUCGGAAUCACUGGGCUUAAAGGGUGCGUAGGCUGCGCAGCAAGUUGGGUGUGAAAUCCCUCGGCUUAACCGAGGAACUGCGCCCAAAACUGCUGUGCUCGAGGGAGAUAGAGGUGAGCGGAACUUAGGGUGGAGCGGUGAAAUGCGUUGAUAUCCUAAGGAACACCGGUGGCGAAAGCGGCUCACUGGAUCUCUUCUGACGCUGAGGCACGAAAGCUAGGGUAG